RNAcentral lists this ribosomal RNA (536 nucleotides) under uncultured fungus. RNAcentral's name for it is "eukaryotic LSU rRNA". The stretch from base 186 to 339 matches the Rfam family "5.8S ribosomal RNA". The record is from RNAcentral. Lineage: Eukaryota; Fungi.
AAGUCGUAACAAGGUUUCCGUAGGUGAACCUGCGGAAGGAUCAUUACCUAGAGUUGUAGGCUUUGCCUGCUAUCUCUUACCCAUGUCUUUUAAGUACCUUCGUUUCCUCGGCGGGUUCGCCCGCCGAUUGGACAAUUUAAACCAUUUGCAGUUGCAAUCAGCGUCUGAAAAAACUUAAUAGUUACAACUUUCAACAACGGAUCUCUUGGUUCUGGCAUCGAUGAAGAACGCAGCGAAAUGCGAUAAGUAGUGUGAAUUGCAGAAUUCAGUGAAUCGUCGAAUCUUUGAACGCACAUUGCGCCCCUUGGUAUUCCAUGGGGCAUGCCUGUUCGAGCGUCAUUUGUACCUUCAAGCUCUGCUUGGUGUUGGGUGUUUGUCUCGCCUCUGCGUGUAGACUCGCCUCAAAACAAUUGGCAGCCGGCGUAUUGAUUUCGGAGCGCAGUACAUCUCGCGCUUUGCACUCAUAACGACGACGUCCAAAAGUACAUUUUUACACUCUUGACCUCGGAUCAGGUAGGGAUACCCGCUGAACUUAA